RNAcentral lists this long non-coding RNA (5310 nucleotides) under Papio anubis (olive baboon). RNAcentral's name for it is "lncRNA (ENSPANG00000043926.1)". Lineage: Eukaryota; Metazoa; Chordata; Mammalia; Primates; Cercopithecidae. The record is from RNAcentral.
AUGUCAAAACAAAACAAAACAAAACAAAACAAAAAAAUAGACAACUGGAAACUGAUGGAUUCGAAGAGUGAUCUGAAAAAUCUAUUUGAUGCCCAAACCCACGAUGGUUUUUUACACUCUACAAACUUUAUUAAGAAAGGUGCUGAUUACGUUUUUAGAUACAGUCUCAACAUACUCCCUGCACUGUCUUUGUUCCGCACAGGAUUCGGGAGUGUAACCAGGAAUGUAAUUAGGAAUGCAAUGCGGAGGAAGGGCAAGGCCUGUCCCUUUCUUCUUCAGCUGCUGUGUGGUGCCAGGGUCCUGCCUGCCCAUCUGAGGACAUGCCUGCUCAUCACCCACGUGCAUCCUGUCACAGUGGGACUGCGUGUGUUCCCUGCUCAUUGUCACUUCCAUGGUUUUGCUGAUUCUAUGCGAUUCUUCCAGGCCACUCCAAGUUCCACCUCUUCCACGAAGCCCUCCUUGAUUGCUGGGCCCUGGUUGAACUUAUUAGUAACACCCAGGUUACUUCUACUUAAUUCUUGCCUCCAGCCAAAGUGGACUUAGAACCUCCUUGCAUGCCUGGUAAAGUCAAGGUGUUCAGCCAGGGCCUGGGUAUAAAGCGGAAGCAACACAGUGUCUGGUUUGAAGCUUAGGGCUUGGGUUCAGACGGUUGUGGGUUACAAUCCCUUCUACGCGUGUUGCCUGUGGAAACCCUUUGGUUCUCUGUGCCUGGAGCUCGCCUGUAAUGGGACAAAACCAUCUCACCUAGAUUGUUGUUCUGAGGAUUGAAUUAGGUGAUUCUGAAAGGUGUUUAUGAGUCUUCCCUGAUUGACAAUCCAUGAAAAGUGGGCGUUAUUGCUGAAGCUCACAGAAGAAAUAUGAAAUUUGAUUAUAUCCUGAUUCAUGGCAUUGGGUCACCACCUCAGCAGUUUUUAUGAAAGUAGCGUCUGACCUGGCAAAGGCUGUGUCAUCUUAUUAUCUCAGAAAGGCAAAUUUACGGGGUCAGAUGAUGGACGGCCAGGUUUCAGGCUUGCAGAUUUCUCAAUGGGGUGGAAGGAAGGAGAGAAAAAGAGAGACAGGAGAGAGUACACACUUAAUUCUACUUCUCCUAGGGUGAUGUUUCCUUCUUCCCCUUCCAGAGUUCUCAAAAAGGCAUUCUAGGAAGUCCUGUAAAAUACAUGCUCAUACAACAUCUCCUAAUUUCCACAAAUUGUUGAGAAUUUAAAAACUCAGUUGGGGGUUUGCUGUUCUAGCCUGAGACACCAGGGUCACGUUUCAGUGCUUGCAGUCUUGACAGUACCAGGCAUCUGGGAUGAAGUUGGGGAAAGAAGGUCUGGUGACCCUGCUGGCCUGCCUCUCUUGAAAGAUGCUUACUGGCUGCUGGCUCCAUCACUGGUGUGUCACAGGGCUUUAGGAUUUGGAAAAGCAGAGGAUGUAAAACAAGACGGAAUGGUCAGAAUUUAGAGAACCAUGUGCCAAAGUGCCAUCUUUAGGGUGCUCAUAACACGACCCUACGACAUUAGAGGUGCUGGAAUCAUGGAAGAGGAAUCCAGACUCUGUAAUCUUCUUCCCCCUGGAAAAUCUUUGCUGGAACUGGGGGAUUGGAAGCUGUCAACACAUGAGCCAUCUUCUGCUCUGUUCAAGAUGGUAGGGGCGUUCUCGACACGCCCCUCCCUCUGAUUCUGCCUCACUUUUAUUUUAGAAUUUUCCACUGCCUCUUCUGGAAUGUGCUUUUUCACCCCUCGAAAUCUGUAGAGAAGAAAUAAGCAGAAACUGAAAUGGCUUUCUGGUGUUAAAUGCUCUCAGCUUAGUGGAAAAUCGAGCGUUGGGCUCGAGGCUGGACUUUUGCGGAGAGCACUGCAAUAGUGCUGUGGCCUUGCCUUUCUUUCUCAUCACCCGGGUACAGUCCUGCAGUCCUCAGAGGAUGCCAGUCCCACACAGGGGGAUCCUCCUCCGCAGGAAAACCGAGGAACAAUGCAGGUUCGAUGUGUAAGAUGGCCAAGCACAUUCAAUCUUCGAGAUCUUUCCUCCCAAACCCUAAUGCUACCUCAAGAUGGGCUGCUGCCUGCUACCAUUUCAACAUCGAGUCCUUUAAGGUGCCACCUGAGAGAGAGACGGGAAGCGAGAGGCCAAGAAAAAUGAAAGGUAAGCACGAGACCAGUGGAAUGAGUGGGGAGAUCCGUCUGUCCGUCUGUCUGUCUGUCUGUCUGUCCGUCUGUCUGUCUGUCUGUCUGUUUGUUUGUUUGUUUGAAGUGUCUUCUGCUUGGCUGAGGUUAUCGCUCUUCAGGGGAGGCGGAAGUGCUUCUCUUCUCGUCUCUGAUCGCUCCGCAGCUCUCAGGAAACUUUGACAAACACGUCGCAGCAGCGAGUGGAAACACGUCUGAGACGCUGCAGCGCAGCCCGGCGGGUUCUGUUCUUAGCAGUAUUUGCUAAGUUCCAUCCAUUCGAGUGUUUUUCAACAAUGGGAGGCAUGUCAUCUUGAUUUGACAGGAUAAUCCUGAGUUUAUAGAAUUUCAUCACAGUGUGUGAAACUGGUUUUUCACUUCACUAUACUGGCCCUCAGCGGUGGAGUAAACUGGACACUGAAUAGAACAAAUCUCCCUCCUCCGUGUUGUCCCCCAGCCCACCAGCGUUCGCCCUAAGCUCUGCCCUGCACCAGCGCCAGCCUUCUAUUGGAGAUUGGCAGCUGCGGCCACCGCUGGCUAUCUCUCAACCACUCCACAAUAUGUAUCAGUGUGUUCUACAAAUCAUUGUAUUUGCCAAGCGUGAAUUCAGAGCAAAGUGUAGACCUCGUUUGGAUCCCAGUUGAGGCAAGCAAAUCUUAAAAUGUGCAUGAGACUGUUGGAGAAAGGCAAACACAGAUAGGAUAGGUGUUGACAUUAAAGAAAUCUUAAUUUUCUGUGUGUGGUGAUGGUAUUGUGGUUAUUUUAAAAAGGGAGUGUCGUCCAUGCCUUUUGAUGUUAUAUAUAUUUUUAAUUACAGAUUAACAUGAUUUUCCAAAUGUGCUUCAAAAUAAUUCACGGAAGUAAGUGAACUCAGGAAUACAAAAUAAUAAAUUUAGCCACAAGGUGUUUAUUGUUGAAGGUAGGCGAUGGGCAUGUGGGAAUUUUUUAUAUAAUUCUCUGUACUUUUGUUCCUGUUAGGAACUUUCCGUAAUAGAAAUUAAAAGAAGAAAUGAGGUAGGACAACUGGGAUAAGCAGAAGACAAGGGUGGACUCACAGCCUCUCCUCCACAGAUGCUGCGGGGCCAGGGUGAGCGUCAGCACCCUGAGUGCCUGCUCUGAGGCUGGAGCGGCUGGCUUCGCUGCCUUCCUGUCUGAGUGCAGCAAGAGGUGGAGGGAGGACUGGGGUGCACCUUCUGCAGGGGACAAUGCUUUGGACACAGCAAACGUGCAGAGCCCAGUGCCCUGUGUGGGGACAGAGGAGUGUGGGUGUCAAAAAAGGAGACCGCUUUUCCAUUCUCUUGGGAUCCUCCUUCACUGGAAGAUUUGGGGCAAUGCACACGCCUAACCUCCCUCCGCUUUCAUGGCCUCAUGGAGAAAAGGGUUCCCUCCCCCAUUCACACGUUUGUGGUCGUGAUCACGGUGAUUUAACGCACUAGUUUGCUUUCCUGAUAGGAGGACGUAACGGUAGAAGGUGAGAAGGGCAAUUCUACCAUCUGGUAAGAAAAAAUGAGAAAAGGGGUAACAGAGGCAGUUGUAUGAAAAAUCAGAACUACUAAAUAAUCCACAGCCAAUUUGCUGUGGCAUCCAACUGCAAUCCCCAAGACGAGCGUCCAAAAGCCACCAGGAGGCCAACCCCCUCAUUUGCUUUCAUUAGAAUUUUUCCUUUUUCUUUUUUCUUUCUUUCUUUUUUUUUUUUGGAGACAGAGUCUCUGUCUGUCACCAAGGCUGGAGUGCAUUGGUGUGAUCUUGGCUCACUGCAACCUCUGCCUCCCGAGUUCAAGUGAUUCUCCUGCCUCAGUCUCCCAAGUAGCUGAGAUUACAGGUGUGCACCACCACGCCCGGCUAAUUUUUGGUAUUUGUAGUAGGGACAGGGUUUCACCAUGUUGAUCAGGCUGGUCUCAAACUCCUGACCCCAGGUGAUCUGCCCACCUCGGCCUCCCAAAGUGCUGGGAUUACAGACGUGAGCCACCUUGCCUAGCCUUUCAUUAUAAUUUUUCUAAGAAUUGACAUUACUUUAGAGUCUUCCCUAAUCAAAACUAAAAUAACUUUUAGAAUAACGGCAAAUUACCUCCAAUAGGGCCUGGAUGAGAUGAUGGAAUGGGGUACAGAAAGAAGAGGGAAGCUGGGCCUCCAGGAGACCCUCAGCCCAGGACUGAGGAGUGUCAGGCCCCGGAGUGUGUGGUGUGUGCUGGGGUGUGGCGGGUUGUGUACGUGAGGGUGGGGAUGGGGGUUGCGGGUGUGUGUGUGUCGCACAUGCAGGUGUUGCACGUGUGUGUUGGGUUGUUGGUGAGAAUUAGGUGUGGGUGCACGUUGGGUCUGUGGAGGGGUUAUUUUUGGGUGCUGUGUGCAUGUUGGGUGUGUGUAGGAUUGUUUUGGGUGCCGCGUGUAUGUGAAAAAUUUCUCUCUUUAAACUCAGACUUUGGACCCUGGAGGUUUUCCUCAUAGGUCCUUGGGAUUCUAGGGCAAUAAGGAGAAAGGAUAUUUUCUUAGGAGAAGCCACAUCGCUGGACUGUUGAAUUGCCACAUCCAGUACAAUCAGAUUCUAUUAGCCGUUAGGAUAGAAUGUGAAACUUCUCAUUUACCUUAAGCACUGAGCCAAAUGGAUUUUUUUUAAAAAAAAAAAGCAAGAAAAAAUCAACACAGAUGUUCAGAAAUGGGUCAUGAGACGGGGCCAAAUGAGAAGCCUCUCAGAUCUUGGGAACUAUGAGUCACUUAAAAGGCCUCCAGUCCUGGGAGAAAUGAUGCCUGCCCUUACAAAGAUUCCCAGUUCACUUUCUGCGGGCUGGAGCAUUUUUCAGCCAUCCCAGAAUUGUUGUUCUUUGUUUUUUGUUUUUUUGGGCGACGGAGUCUCGCUCUGUCACCCAGGCUGGAGUGCAGUGGCACGAUCUCAGAUCACUGCAACCUCUGCCUCCCAGGUUCAAGAGAUUCUCCUGCCUCCUGAGUAGUUGGGAUUACAGGCAUCUGCCAUCACACCAGGCUAAUUUUUGUAUUUUUAGUAGAGACGGGGUUUCACCAUGUUGGCCAGGCUGGUCUCGAACUCCUGACCUCAGGUGAUCCUCCCGCCUUGGCCUCCCAAAGUGCUGGGAUUAUAGCUGUGAGCCACCAUGCCUAGCCUGAGAAUUGUCUUUUUGGCCAACUGGGGGAAAAACACUUGAAUGGAACUUAA